CCAAUAGCGUAUAUUAAAGUUGUUGCAGUUAAAAAGCUCGUAGUUGAAUUUCGGGAUCAGUUGAUCGGUCGUGCCUCGGUACGUACUGGUCAAAUUGAUUCCUACCUUCUGACGAACCACGAUGUCAUUAAUUUGGUGUCGCGGGAAAUCAGGACUGUUAAUUUGAAAAAAUUAGAGUGUUUAAAGCAGGCUCGCGCUUGAAUACAUUAGCAUGGAAUAAUGAAAUAGGACGUUUGAUUCUAUUUUGUUGGUUUCUAGGAUCGACGUAAUGAUUAAUAGGGAUAGUUGGGGGCAUUAGUAUUCAAUUGUCAGAGGUGAAAUUCUUGGAUUUAUUGAAGACUAACUACUGCGAAAGCAUUUGCCAAGGAUGUUUUCAUUAAUCAAGAACGAAAGUUAGGGGAUCGAAGACGAUCAGAUACCGUCGUAGUCUUAACCAUAAACUAUGCCGACUAGGGAUCGGAUGAUGUUAAUUUUUUAAUGACUCAUUCGGCGCCUUACG
Molecule: unclassified non-coding RNA, 499 nt
Filed under: uncultured Glomeromycotina
Lineage: Eukaryota; Fungi; Glomeromycota
Description: SSU rRNA
Rfam family: Eukaryotic small subunit ribosomal RNA
Source: RNAcentral